GAUUGCAACCAGAUAACCCUAAACCCUUCUUCUUCUUCCAACCGCCUCCAGAUUGCAACCCGCUCCGUCGACUCAGACCGUUCUGGAUGCCGCCUUGAUGACCACUCUCUCUCAAGGUAAGUUAUCUUCCUUCAUUAUCGUGCUGAAAUUUCAUCGCUACCCACUUCGUUGUCCGAUUCGGUAACUUUCGCUGUCGCCCUCACUGAAUCGACUACUUUUCUAUUAUCUUUUCAUUUUCUGAAAUCGAGUUUUACUGAAAUCGAGUCUUACUGAAAAAGCCCCAAUUUUUAUUGAAAACCCUAACUAUUUUCCUUCAAAUCCGAAAUUAUUCAUAUUCUUUAGUUUUGAUUCUUUGUUUUUCUUACAUAAUGUUGUAGUUAAUAGUGUUGUAGUGAAUGUUAUGCAUUGAAGGGGACAAGUAGUGAGACACCAGAACAAUGGACUUCAGUGUUAAGUCAUAGAACUUAUAUUCUCUAUAUUGGGGAUAUUUGCUUUGUUAUCAGCAGUUACAUAUUGUUCUUGUUCUUGGUUGUUUGGUUCUUGAUUUAAUUUGCCAUUAAAAUCAUUCACUUUCUUUCUUAAUUUGAUUCUCUAAUUUAACCGCUCUUUCUUUCCCUUUUUGAGAUGCCUAAUAUGUUAAGCCCGCAACAACUAAUUAUUUUAAUUAAAAUUGCCUUUAAAAAUAGGGUUUUCUGCAUGUUAGCAACAGGCCUCUGAUUAAACAAACUUAGUGAGGCGCAAGAAACAUUAAUGUUGGCCCAAAUCUGAUUGAUCUAUUUGUAACUAGCUAGAUUUAUUAUUGUUUGUGUCUUUAACAGAUUAUUUCAAUUUGUUUUUUUUGUUAAGUUGUAACUGCUCAUUUGUGUCUAAUUAAAUAGAGUAAGGAAAUAGAAGUUUGGGUAUUCAAUUAUUUUAUUUCAGAUUGGUGGUUAUUAGGGAGAGGAUAGGACAGGCUCUUGAACAACAUGUGGAUAUUUGUAAUAGUUCUGUUUCAUUUAAGUCCUCAACAAAACAUCACCAUUCACUACAACAUCUUACUUUACUAGUUACUGGUUCUAACAUAUAUAAUAAUUCAGCAUUCUAACUCCACAACUAAGCAAUGCAGGAAACAAAAGUAAUAAAGUGUGAUAAUGCUUUGAUAGUGACGAUAGCGGCAAUAUAACAUAGUGGAUUUUGAUGAAUCCACUAUGAAGAUCCCAGAGCUAUCCUUGUUUUGCUAUUAGGGUCUUGUAGCCAGACAUAGCAGCAAUAGUGGAAAAUAGAAUUUUAGGGGUUCUAAAAAUAAUAAAACUGAGAAGUUCGUAUGUGUGCCAAACAUGACUUAUUUGUAAAAUAAGGUGACUGAAGAGUGCGAAUAUCACUCUAUGUUCAUUUUAAUAUGUAAACGUUUCCACGUAUAAUGUAAGACCCAUAAUUUUAAAGUAUACUUUAUGUAUUUUUGUGUAUUUUAGAUAUUGGCUCGGAGGCUUUUUAGCCAAAGUUAUUAAUAUUUUGGAGUUUAUAUGAUCAAAAAGAUAUUUUGAUGCCGAUUAGAAUUACUCGUCGAUAAAUAAAUUAAAUUAACUGCGGUGAAUCUUUUAUGAAGAAUUUAAUGUGUUACGGGUGAAAUGGUAAUUUUAAUAAAUAUCUAGAUAUUUGUUAAGUUAUAAUUAAUAUAUAUAUAUAUAUAUAUAUAUAUAUAUAUAUAGCAUAAAUCAUAAAAUCGUGGGAUAUUACGAUCUCAGUCACCCCUUCUGAUCUAUCAUGCACGCAGAAUCGCUUUCAGCUGAGAUCGAACAAGAUUGUGUGAAAAAUUGCAAAAAUCAUGAGAUUGGGCAAUUUCCAGCGAUCCCAAAAAAAAAUUGAUUCAGGCCGGGUUUUGCGACUCAAGUCCCCAAAAAUGGGAUGUAGAGUACUAAGACCCUUCCCUCUGACGACUUCCCUACCAUCACCCAUAGUUUCCAACGAGCAAAGUGUUGAACAAAUAGGAAAAGAAAGAGAAGAAGAAAGAGAGUGUUGAUCUGUACAACUGCUUUCCAGGAGAGUUGCGGCUGUAUUGUUCUAAAAAUAACUAUAUAGUAUAUAUGUAUUAUAUCUAUUUUAGUGUAUUUGUUAUUAUGGUAAGAUCUUACAAUCUUUGUUAUGAUUCUACCUUUUAGAUCUUGCACCCCCCCUCUCGAUUUUGGGUAGCAUCUCGCUCAUGACAACAUUGGGGGGCAGUAUGGCUACUUCGUCGAAGUUCGAGGAAACAAAUUAAAAAAUGCACAAAAUUUAUAUUUAUACCAUACACGUAUAAAAGCUAAAAAGUCAAAGAAACCUACUCUGAGUGGACUGGAAACAGGCCGUUGGCUGCAUAACAGGCCGCUCUGUGAAGCACAAGAAAUACAAUAAAAAUGGAAAAAAGGCCUUCAAUGGGAAUCAAUCUCGGUCCUUUUAGUUAUGGAAAAGCGCUCAGCCGCUGUGCUGCAGUAGUUAUUUGGAAUAUAAAUGGCAAAAGUAAUAUAUAUUUUUGAUUUUUGAUGAAUACACACACACAUUUAAUACUGAUACUACUAUAACUUAUACAGUUUCAAGUAGUGACUUGGCAAUUCGACGAAUGAGUCAAUGACCCAACCCAACACCCUCAUCAAGUUGAAUACCAGUUAGGGUUUUAUCACCUUGGGCGCUAGUCCAGUUUUCUCCCGGAGAUACUUGUUCCUAAUUUUACUCUUUUUUUAUAUCAUGUCCACUCACCAACCUCAGAAUUCUAACCAGUCAUCUUCGUAUGCACUUAAUUCUUUCUCUUGUUGCCUUUUACUAUCCCACACUCACUAUCAUAGAGUGAUUCCCGGGAAUUGGGGUGCUCAAGCUGAUAUUUGAAUUUAACUGCCCACUUUAUGGUUUAAAAUAACAUUAUAGUGUGUAGGUAUUCCCAAUGAGCAAUGAAUAUAGGUAUAAAAUAUGAAGAAAGUGGAUUGGUGUAUUAGUGUGUGUCAGUAUGUAUAAAAUGAAGAAGAUAUGGUAUGUCGGCAUCCUCAUAUAUACUUGUAAAGUACUCCAUUUAUUUCAGCAUUGUUACCUUUUUUGUGAACAUGAUAUUCUCUUGUGGAUGAAUGACUUUGUUCAAAUAUACCUAUUUAUGGAGGGAAGGAUUCAAGAUUGUCAAUCUUAUUUGUGAAGUGUCCUAGUCAUUUUUUUUAUCACAAUUGUCAAACUUUAUACUGCUGGAACACCUACGAUAUACAGCAUUAUCCAACACUGAUGCUUUUCUGAUACUUUGUAGUAUACAAGCCAUUUUUUUAAGUUGUCUAAUUUUCAUACAGCUGGGACACUUAAAGAAUACAACUCAAGAAGUUUUAAUACAAAACUUAGAACCUUUCAUCUGAACAGGCAGAUCUUUAAUUUCUUUGAUGUUAGACUUACGACUCAUUUCAUCUUAUUUUCCAUUCCAUGUGCCAGUAUCAACACUUUUUUUUUUCAUCUCUUUUUCUGCUUAUUAUUGCAAAAUUGUGGCUUUGAUAUUUUGCUACAUAGUUUUCUUUUUUAAUAAUUAUAUAUUUGUUUCAUAAUCGUAAUUUCCUUUCGUUUGAGGAACUUCCCUAAUUUGACAUAAUCGAUUUGCCAAUCAAUUUUAUAAUAUGUUUUUCAAAACCAUUUAAGAAAUCGAUUUGGAAAUCGAUUUGGCCAUACAGGAAUUCAGGAAAACUGACAAAAUCGAUUUGGAAAUCGAUUGGCAUUAAGUCAGGGGCUCAGCUAUUCAUUCAAUUGAUUGCCCAAUCCAUUGCUCAAUCGAUUGAAUUAAGCCCAGAGUUCAAAUUUCACUAAAAACCUUCAGGAAAUCGAUUUGGAAAUCGAUUGGCAUUAAGUCAGGGGCUCAACUAUUCAUUCAAUUGAUUGCCCAAUCGAUUGAAUUAAGCCCAGAGUUCAAAUUUCACUAAAAACCUUCAGGAAAUCGAUUUGGAAAUCGAUUGGCUUAGUAGAAAUUCUUAUUUUGAGUUAGAUAACAGAUUGCUCAAUUGAUUUAUCAAUGUCUUGGUCAGUUAUGUAUUACUUGAUGGAUUGAGAACUUUAUUUUGAUUUCAUUUUUAAUUGGCAAGCAUUAUAUGAACUUUUAGCAUAUGGAAAAUCCUUUUAAGGGGCAUGCUUAGUUGAAAGGUUAUUUCGUGCAUUUAAAAACUUAAAUGUUAUGUGUUAACUGUUAAUUUCGGUUGGUGACCCUUUACAACUAUUGUGGAAAUUUGGGCUUUGCCCUCAGAUGAGAGGCAGAACGAUCUUACCGGUUCGUAUCCUACGGAUGGGAAUGUAGAUGGGAAUGCUUGACUGGAGCUAUGUUAGGAGGAUCUCACGGGGCGCGUGGAGAUCACUCAGGGUGUAUAGC
Molecule: long non-coding RNA, 4336 nt
Filed under: Cicer arietinum (chickpea)
Lineage: Eukaryota; Viridiplantae; Streptophyta; Magnoliopsida; Fabales; Fabaceae
Description: long non-coding RNA (CARI_LNC001337)
Source: RNAcentral